This is a non-coding RNA of Pelobates cultripes (western spadefoot toad), 313 nucleotides long. The record is from the annotation of a GenBank genome assembly. Lineage: Eukaryota; Metazoa; Chordata; Amphibia; Anura; Pelobatidae.
CCUUUUGGCAGGUCUGGUCACGUGAUUUGCGCCAGUGGCACACUCUUUUACACUACACAUUGACUUCUUGCUUCACCGGACACUGGUGUUAGGGGGUAUGGAUUUAAUUGAAAGAUGAAAGCAUGAAUUAGAGAGAGAUUAGCAUAGUGUAUGUGUUUUUCUAUAGCUGCAUCCUUUGAGUUUCCCUCCAACACCAUCUAAAUCAGAUACAUGACGCUUGGGAGGUAUGGUUGUUUUAGUGUUUUUGGUCGAUAAGAUUCUGUAAUUAGGCCCAUCAUAACUGUCAGCACCAGGCCCAAUAGGCUCUUAAUCC